UGCCGAUGAUGUAUUUUGAUGCACGCAUUAUCAGAUUACUGCAUGAUGAUAUGCAAAAAUUGUCACUACCUCUGAGGCA
Molecule: small nucleolar RNA, 79 nt
Organism: Rhodamnia argentea
Lineage: Eukaryota; Viridiplantae; Streptophyta; Magnoliopsida; Myrtales; Myrtaceae
Product: small nucleolar RNA snoR122
Exons: 1
Source: RefSeq, a predicted model, not a curated record